UGUCUGAAAAUGGUAGACAUUUUUUGUUUCUGAGAAAUUUCAGAUAGUGAAGGGGGCACUUUCUGCUCAUUUUCGAGGAAUCCGAAUACUCCCACUGUUUAUUUACUGUUCACAUGGAAAAAGACAUCCUCAAAUGAAGAGAAUGGCAAUGGAUUCACGGAUCAAGUAUUCCUGAAGACAGAGCAUCCUUUGAAUUUAGGAUGAGAAAAACAGAAUUCUCAAGCCAGGGAAUGAAAAUCUUUCAUUCAAGAGGGGAAUAUUAUCAAAUAAGAAAAGAGAACAAAAAUACUUCGUCAACUCGAUGUUCAUCACUUUUCCAAAAACCGAAUGUUAUCAUGUUUGAGAAAAAUUUCGUAAUCUUUCAGGCUGAUGACGAAUAUAUGUAUAAAAUUAACUGCUUGGAUGGGCAAGGAAGUGAAAUUCAACAAACAAAUUCGGAUUCUGCGAUCCAAAAAACAUUUAAAAAAUCCAAAUUCGACGUGUAGACCUUUCAGUGAAUAUGAACUACUAGGAAAUAUACCAUAAACGAUGAUUUUUUUUUCCCACUCCUAGCUAACCCGGCAAACUACGUUUUUAGUGGAAUGAGGAGAUACGGGAGUUUUAUAUAUAAUGCAGGUUGCAAGUGGAGUUUUAUAUAUAAUGCAGGUUGCAAGUGGAUAGGAGUCAGGUGCUCACUACUGCAGUGUCAAGUACAUCUAUUCACCUAUCCAUAAAUCCGUCUCUCCAGAAACCGCGAUGAAGUUGUGGUCGUUUUUCACUCUAUUCCUAAUUGUGCUGGCUUGCAUCCAUGUAGCGGAAUUACAUCCGCAUGGUAAAAAAGGGGGCAAAAAAGGGGGUAAAUCUGGAGGUAAAAAAGGAGGUAAAGGAGGUUACAAAGGACACAAAAAGUGGUAAAAAAGGGCAUUCGGAUGGACAGAAACACUGAGAGUGUCAUCGACAAGCAAUCCAUGUCAACAUCGUUUUGUAUUAGAAUCAGUUGAUGGGCGAGGAUAGAAAACGGGGCCGGCAUUUUGGAUUGCUGAUUUCGUCGAUGAACAUGCCAAUUUGUUUUGUUCAAAAAAGCUCAACAUGUAUAAGUAUUCUUCGGACAUUUGAAAAUUAUAGUUUGUAAUCGAACGGCUGAACGUAUCAGUUGUCCUUAAAAAAUUGUAACAAUCAUCUUAAUUCGUUGCAUUAUUCCUGUCCUGAGUUAAUGUUUUUUUGUUAAACAUGUUAAAUUUGUUGACAGAUACAUGUGAAAAGUAAAUAAAUUGUUAUGAGGAAAUU
Molecule: long non-coding RNA, 1266 nt
Organism: Diachasma alloeum
Lineage: Eukaryota; Metazoa; Arthropoda; Insecta; Hymenoptera; Braconidae
Exons: 4
Source: RefSeq, a predicted model, not a curated record